UAAAACUAACAUACAGCCAUUUAAAAGCAAAUCUAAAUAAUAAUAAUAAAACCUAAAGCCUAUCUCUCUUCUUCAUUCGACCAAACCUAAAUCCUCACUCAACCAUCGCCUCGCCUCGCCUCGCCUCCGUAAUCAGCAAACGGAGUCGCACGAAGGCCUAAUCGACCCUGUUCGACCAUGAAUCCGAGGGUUUUGCCAUUCUUAAGCCUCACAAUCCCUAUUUGAGCUUCGAUUUCUUCAAAGCAAACAAGGAUUCGAGGGCCUUUAUCACGAUAAGUAUCUUCCCUCUCCUUUAUUUUUGUUUUUUCACUCCUAUGAUAACGAAAAUCAAAGAGAUAAAAGCAAAAUGAAAAAGAAAAAUGAUCUUUCAAAUUACCACUUGAAAACAGUCUUUUAUUCACCCUUUUUGGUACCGAUUUGUAUGCGUAAAUAUGCGUGUAUAUUUCUGCCAAAAAAAAGAUCCCAUUUACAUCAUUUUUCUGGCUUUUUAUAGCUGAUUUACAUCAUAAAUAAAAUAAAAAUUGUAUUUUCUUGCUGUCAUUUAUUGGCCUAUUUUUCUGUUAUCAUUUCUGUUGAUCUUCUCGCAGGUUCCAUUGGAGAUGGUCGUUCGAAAGGAGCAUUCGUGAGCGUGGGCAUGGGAAACCACUUGUGGGAGUGGCUGACUUGCGGCACUAGCAGAUUCCAGAAACCCUAGAGGUUUCUGGUAUUUCAAAACUAUUGGGCCCCCUUUGGGCCAUUUGUAAAUUGGGUUUUGGACUAGUGUUUCAAUUUUGUUUUGGGCUAUAUUUUGUUAUUGGGCUUGAAGGGAUUUAUUUGGGUUAAAUGUAAAUUUGGUAUUUAUGGACUGUGGACUAUAUUUUAUUUUUAUUUGGUUUAUUUAUAAAUUUAAAAGCCCGGGCAAAAUGGGCCUUCUACAACGUUCAGGUUUUACAAUUAUUUUCUAAUUUUAUCAAACUGUUUUAGUGUUUGCUCUAUCUUUAGAUUAUGCAAAUCAAAACCUAUUAUUACCUAAAACAAUAAUUCUAGAAAACAUAUUAUCACAAACCAUAUCCCCCUAUAUGAUUUUAUGUUAUGAUAAUUAGAAAUAACAUAUAAAAUUUAAUGAAAAGAGUCGGUAAGUAAUUCUUGAUUUGUAGAGAAUAGUAGUUAAAGUUUUUAUCAGACACUCAUUCGACACAAAUUCAAAUAUUGUCCAU
Molecule: long non-coding RNA, 1196 nt
Filed under: Gossypium barbadense (sea-island cotton)
Lineage: Eukaryota; Viridiplantae; Streptophyta; Magnoliopsida; Malvales; Malvaceae
Description: long non-coding RNA (GBAR_LNC009682)
Source: RNAcentral